UAAAGCAAAUGGUGAAAUCUGGGGGCGUCAACCUCACAGACUAUUAUUUGUAACUCACACACUCGAGAGUAGCAGAGGUAACUGGAAUUUCUGAAGUAGGGGUAAUAUCCGUAGAUAUCAGAAGGAACACCAAUGGCGUAGGCAGGUUACUGGGCUAUUUCUGACGCUGAGGCACGAAAGCGUGGGGGAGCGAACCGGGAUUAGAUACCCGGGUAGUCCACGCCGUAAACGAUGGAUACUA
Molecule: ribosomal RNA, 241 nt
Filed under: uncultured Candidatus Saccharibacteria bacterium
Lineage: Bacteria; Candidatus Saccharimonadota
Description: partial 16S ribosomal RNA
Rfam family: Bacterial small subunit ribosomal RNA
Source: RNAcentral